This 207-nucleotide ribosomal RNA is filed under the name uncultured bacterium. RNAcentral describes it as "partial 16S ribosomal RNA". It matches the Rfam family "Bacterial small subunit ribosomal RNA", at positions 568 to 774 of the family's 1533-position model. The record is from RNAcentral.
CGUGUAGGUGGAAAGGUCAGUCGGACGUGAAAUCCCUCGGCUCAACUGAGGAAUUGCGUUUGAUACUGCCUUUCUUGAGUGUGGGAGAGGAGAGUGGAACUCCUGGUGGAGCGGUGAAAUGCGUAGAUAUCAGGAGGAACGCCGGUGGCGAAAGCGGCUCUCUGGCCCACCACUGACACUGAGGCGCGAAAGCCAGGGGAGCGAACG